CUACGGGGCGCAGCAGUGGGGAAUAUUGCACAAUGGAGGAAACUCUGAUGCAGCAACGCCGCGUGGAGGAUGACACUUUUCGGAGCGUAAACUCCUUUUAUAUAGGAAGAAGAUGACGGUACUAUAUGAAUAAGCGCCGGCUAACUCCGUGCCAGCAGCCGCGGUAAUACGGAGGGCGCAAGCGUUACUAGGAAUCACUGGGCGUAAAGAGCGUGUAGGCGGAUUAAAAAGUCAGAAGUGAAAUCCUAUAGCUUAACUAUAGAACUGCUUCUGAAACUCUUAAUCUAGAAUAUGGGAGAGGUAGAUGGAAUUUCUGGUGUAGGGGUAAAAUCCGUAGAGAUCAGAAGGAAUACCGAUUGCGAAGGCGAUCUACUAGAACAUUAUUGACGCUGAGACGCGAAGGCGUGGGGAGCAAACAGGAUUAGAUACCCGGGUAGUC
Molecule: ribosomal RNA, 439 nt
Filed under: uncultured bacterium
Lineage: Bacteria
Description: partial 16S ribosomal RNA
Rfam family: Bacterial small subunit ribosomal RNA
Source: RNAcentral